ACAAGUCCACAAGUCCCAAGUUUGCAAGGUCACAAAACAUUACGGAGCAAGUACAAUAAGAAACAUUCAUAGCAUUCAUGGUACAUUAUCAUCAUCUAGAUCUUCAUCAACAAGCUUACAACGAUGCCUCAGGUCCAUCAUCAUGAUCAUCAUCUAGGUCUUCAUCCUGCAUUUUGAUAAAUAAAUAUACAAUUAAAUCAUAGCUAAUGUUUUAUGCACCAAAAUAGAAUAGAAAAUGAAGGUAAAUUAACCUCAAAUGAAAGAUUUCUUGCAAGAGCCUCAAGUUCAUCCAUUUCAUAAACCAUAUUAGGAAUAGCAACACUCUUAGCCUUG
RNAcentral lists this long non-coding RNA (333 nucleotides) under Zea mays. Its description in RNAcentral is "long non-coding RNA (ZMAY_LNC000434)". Lineage: Eukaryota; Viridiplantae; Streptophyta; Magnoliopsida; Poales; Poaceae. The record is from RNAcentral.